This 522-nucleotide ribosomal RNA is filed under the name uncultured bacterium. Its description in RNAcentral is "bacterial SSU rRNA". It matches the Rfam family "Bacterial small subunit ribosomal RNA", at positions 416 to 949 of the family's 1533-position model. The record is from RNAcentral.
AUUGACCUCGUGUAGGCUCUCGCGGGAGAAUUGAUUUCCUAUACAGGGUGGAUGACGGUCCCGAAAUAAGAGGUAUCGUAACUNCGUGCAGCAGCCGCGGUUAACUGCGUAGGGUGCGAGCGUAAUCGAAAUACAGCGUAAGCGUGCGCAGGCGGUUGAUAGACAGACCGAAUCCCGGGCUUAACCUGGGACUGCGCUUGUGACUGUCUCACUAGAGUACGGUGAAGGGGGGUGGAUUUCACGUGUAGCAGUGAAAUGCGUAGAGAUGUGGAGGAACACCGAUGGCGAAGGCAGCCCCCUGGAUAUUACUGACGCUCAUGCACGAAAGCGUGGGCCUUCAAACAGGAUUAGAUACCCUGGUAGAAUUACGCCCUAAACGAUGUCAACUAGGUGUUGGGUGGGUAAAACCAUUUAGUACCGUAGCUAAUAGAGAAGUUGACCGCCUAGAGAGUACGGCCGCAAGGUUAAAACUCAAACCUUUUUGACGGGGACCCGCACAAGCGGUGGAUGAUGGUCGAUUAA